This 216-nucleotide unclassified non-coding RNA is filed under the name Glomeraceae sp. RNAcentral's name for it is "partial contains 5.8S ribosomal RNA and internal transcribed spacer 2". The stretch from base 1 to 71 matches the Rfam family "5.8S ribosomal RNA", at positions 84 to 154 of the family's 154-position model. Lineage: Eukaryota; Fungi; Glomeromycota; Glomeromycetes; Glomerales; Glomeraceae. The record is from RNAcentral.
GUGAAUCAUCGAAUCUUUGAACGCAAAUUGCACUCUCUGGUAUUCCGGAGAGUAUGCCUGUUUGAGGGUCAGUUUAAAUAAAAAUCGGUGUGGUAGCUGCCUUUCGUGGUGACGCACCGGAUUUGGGUCGUCUUGCCUUCGGUUAAGUGACCUAAAAUUUUGCAUGAUUUUUUUCGAAGUUUUUUAGUGAAUUUACGUUCGUUUUGGAUAAUGUAU